AUAUCUUUCUGUACGGGAAGGAUGAGAAGCUUCGACUAAGGUUCGAUUCGAGCGCAGCGAGAAAGCGUUGCCGUAGGCAACGACCCGAAGGGCGAAGCGCGCAGCGCUGAGUCA
Molecule: small RNA, 114 nt
Filed under: Salmonella enterica subsp. enterica serovar Derby
Lineage: Bacteria; Pseudomonadati; Pseudomonadota; Gammaproteobacteria; Enterobacterales; Enterobacteriaceae
Description: RtT sRNA
Rfam family: RtT RNA
About the family: This family represents a bacterial cis-regulatory element known as RtT RNA.
Source: RNAcentral